AAUAUUUCUUCAUUAUUAUUUUUAGUUUAGCUUUUAUGGAUUUGAAGACAUCUCCUGAAAGUGAAGUACUCUUGUGCAAUUCUAUUGACUCCCAAGGAAAACAGUACAGAAUAUGAAAAACAGCAAAAGACACAUUACAAGAGAAUGUCUCCUAAGACACCUGUCUGCAUAUGAAACUAUCUCUGAAUUUAAAGGGAAGUUGAGACUGACUGACAGGAGAAGUGAUUGCCAUGUGUUUCAACAGGCAGGAAAACAGUCAUAGGUACCAGCUUUUUGAUUUGAGUCUUAAAGGUGCCUCUUGUUCUACUCUACUGGUUUCUGGAGUUUUUCUUCCCAGGAAAAAUUAAUGCAUUUCAACUAGAUGGGAGAUAUGAACCCGCAGAAAUUACCUUAUCCACAUGCACAUCCAUGGGAAACCAAAGCUAUUGCCUGAAUGGACAGGUGGGAAGAACAGGAUUAACUUCUGCUGAACUAAGUGUGGACAACAUGACUUCACAGAGAGAAUAAGGAUAGCAAUGAAGCCUACUAGAUAUGGGUUUUUUAUCAAGUAGAUCAAGAACUGUUGACUUUCUUCUACUUAACCGAAGUGCAACUUCAUUCUGAAGUUCUGUGUACUCUUUACUGUAAGUUUAUCUCAGUUUAAGACAAUUAGGAGGGACAGAGACCUCAGACAGAAGUCUCCUUCCUUGGAUUCAAUACUCCUGGUUUAUCCAGUACACAGAGAGAGAUAUCAAAUGCACCUACAUGUAAGUGAAAAAAAAUAACUCUUUACCAAGAGGAAUGCCAAUAAAAAUACUGAUAAAACUGGGUUAAACCAACUGCUCAGGAGAAAUUCCCAAGCCCUGCCCACUGGAACAAACUGAAAUGAUGGCCAGCUUCCCCCACCCAGAAAAAACACACGUGGCCACAGGACAAAGACAAGAUGGCCACCCUUCUGCAUGGUUCGCCUCCCCCGAACCCAGGAAACCUGGCAGGAAUGGUUGGAGAGUCAGCAGUGGAGUGAGGCUGCAGUGCUGGUACAGCCAUUUGGAGCAGGGCUGCGGACCCCCCAGAUGACUGGAAGGACCCACAAGACUUGAUUGUGGUGGUCACAGUCCAGAUCCAUCGAGGUGGUAAAAGUCCCAUGUUGUGAGGGAAGAAAAACCUGUAUUAAGACCUAUGGUCUUUUGUUGGGCUUAGACUUGAUAGGAACACCCGUGGUACCUCCCCUGGGGCAGGGAGUUAUAUGCUGGAUGAUGUAAUACUGGAUCGGGAGUCUUUCACACCUCCUAAAAUGUUACAGCUGCCAGUUAUGUCAGCACAGGUGGAUCCAUUAUGGCCAACAUCAGAGAUGAAUAUCUUCAGACUGUGUGUGAAUUGUCCCGAUGCUUCCCCGGAGGGCAGUUACCACAGCUGAGUCAUUUGUGUAAGGACAAAGAAACACUACCCAGACUAGCAGGAUUUUGCCUCUCUCAUUACCUGUUCAACACCCAGCUUGUAGUCUGAGGUGGCAGAUGUGAACGCCUUUAGCACCUGGGAGGUUACUUUGCACAUGGUCAGCUUGCUCCUUGAUUGACUGAGUCUUCAGCAUUCCAGUUUUUCACACUUGUAGAUACAUUCUUCUAGGAUAAUAGUACUGCCAUUAUCUCAAGUUCCCCAUCACAGUCCAAAUUAGUAGGCAUACUUGGGGAAAAGAAGAGAAAAGAUGGAUACCAGAAUUUUUGUGUAACCAGGACAAAUUCAAUCCAUAAAUUUCCGGAGUUCACUGCUGUCAGCCCCAGCAAGUGUGCAGGACAGUUAUAGUCUGUAAAAUAGAACUAAUUACCACUACAUUACCCUCAGUUGUAGUGGAGGAGUGAUACUUAGCUAAUUGAUAGCCACUGAAAUGACAGAUAAAUCAGUCCAUGACAAAAGUGCAUGGUAUUUUAUUGCUCUUUCAUUUGCCCAUUCAAAGAACUCAAUUAUGCUGCAGUAAGAUCAAUGCCGAAUUCUAAUGACUCCUGUAUAAUAAGGGGAUGUUUUGAUUAAGACUGCCACACACACUUCUCCCAGUAUAUUUGGUUUAAUAAAAAAAGGUUAUUAGUCUAAAUAAAA
Molecule: long non-coding RNA, 2073 nt
Organism: Pipra filicauda (Wire-tailed manakin)
Lineage: Eukaryota; Metazoa; Chordata; Aves; Passeriformes; Pipridae
Exons: 3
Source: RefSeq, a predicted model, not a curated record